GACGAACGCUGGCGGCGUGCUUAACACAUGCAAGUCGAACGGAAAGGCCUCUUUCGGGGGGUACUCGAGUGGCGAACGGGUGAGUAACACGUGAGUAACCUGCCCUUGACUUUGUGAUAACUUCAGGAAACUGGGGCUAAUACCGGAUAGGAGCUCCUGCUGCAUGGUGGGGGUUGGAAAGUUUCUGCGGUUGGGGAUGGACUCGCGGCGUAUCAGCUUGUUGGUGGGGUAGGGGCUUACCAAGGCUUUGUCGGGUAGACGGCCUGGGAGGGUGACCGGCCACAUUGGGACUGGGAUACGGCCCCGACUCCUACGGGGGGCAGCAGUGGGGAAUAUUGCACCAUGGGUGGGAGCCUGAUGCAGCAACGCCGUGGGCGGGAUGACGGCCUUCGGGUUGUAAACCGCUUUCGCUCAUGACGAAGCUUUGUGUGACGGUAGUGGGUAAAGAAGCACCGGCUAACUACGUG
RNAcentral lists this ribosomal RNA (467 nucleotides) under uncultured bacterium. RNAcentral describes it as "partial 16S ribosomal RNA". It matches the Rfam family "Bacterial small subunit ribosomal RNA", at positions 28 to 507 of the family's 1533-position model. The record is from RNAcentral.